Molecule: ribosomal RNA, 253 nt
Filed under: uncultured bacterium
Lineage: Bacteria
Description: partial 16S ribosomal RNA
Rfam family: Bacterial small subunit ribosomal RNA
Source: RNAcentral
UACGUAGGGGGCAAGCGUUGUCCGGAUUUAUUGGGCGUAAAGAGCGUGUAGGCGGCCAGACAGGUCCGCUGUGAAAACUCGAGGCUCAACCUCGAGACGCCGAUGGAAACCGUCUGGCUAGAGUCCGGAAGAGGAGAGUGGAAUUCCCGGUGUAGCGGUGAAAUGCGCAGAUAUCGGGAAGAACACCCGUGGCUAAGGCGGCUCUCUAGUACGGUACUGACGCUGAGACGCGAAAGCGUGGGGAGCGAACAGG